RNAcentral lists this ribosomal RNA (468 nucleotides) under uncultured bacterium. Its description in RNAcentral is "partial 16S ribosomal RNA". It matches the Rfam family "Bacterial small subunit ribosomal RNA", at positions 28 to 507 of the family's 1533-position model. The record is from RNAcentral.
GACGAACGCUGGCGGCGUGCUUAACACAUGCAAGUCGAACGGAAAGGCCCUGCUUUUGUGGGGUGCUCGAGUGGCGAACGGGUGAGUAACACGUGAGUAACCUGCCCUUGACUUUGGGAUAACUUCAGGAAACUGGGGCUAAUACCGGAUAGGAGCUCCUGCUGCAUGGUGGGGGUUGGAAAGUUUCGGCGGUUGGGGAUGGACUCGCGGCUUAUCAGCUUGUUGGUGGGGUAGUGGCUUACCAAGGCUUUGACGGGUAGCCGGCCUGAGAGGGUGACCGGCCACAUUGGGACUGAGAUACGGCGCAGACUCCUACGGGAGGCAGCAGUGGGGAAUAUUGCACAAUGGGCGGAAGCCUGAUGCAGCAACACCGCGUGCGGGAUGACGGCCUUCGGGUUGUAAACCGCUUUCGCCUGUGACGAAGCGUGAGUGACGGUAAUGGGUAAAGAAGCACCGGCUAACUACGUG